GAAUGUGCAGAAUAACUAUCACUAGAGUGGAGGUGGAUGGAAUGUUCUUCACCAAGUUUCAAUGCGAUUGGGUGCCGAUAUAACUUGCAAGGGAGUAAUGUUCAUUGUGAUAUGCAACAAAGAUCAGAUCAACUCACAUCUCUAGUUCCAGAGACCUUUACUCCACUUUCUCACUCUUGACAAUGAUCUUUUCAAGGUAGAGGUAGACAACUACCCUGUUCUAACAGGUCCUCAGCUGUGGUGUAGAUGGAGCUGGAUGGCGCCCAUGAGCAUCUCCAUUGUUUUGAUGUGAUUGUGGAUCUUACUUGCUUCCUAAGUAAAAGAAGGUGGCGUCCUCCACAAAUCUCUUAAACACACAAAUCUCUUGAAAAAAGAAGCAUGUUAUCUGUAUCGUCGUGAUGAUUCAUGCCAAGCACAUCGAGUGAGUGAUCAUCAGCUCCUCCUAGUCUUCCACUCGUGGAGCCUUGAGAGGCAACCGAGAGCACAGCAAGAUGCCACCCCCAUGAUCGCCAGUGCCGGCAUUACUCUCGAGGGAAAUCUGGGCAGCCAGUGGACGAUGACGCUGAUAGCGACUGACGGCACUGCGUACAACGAAGCCACGAGAAUUCCCUCGGCACCAAACUGCCCAUCUGGCUCACGAUGAAAUGCGUGACCACUCCGGGGAUGGAUCAAUGGCACCUGGUACAAGAUGCUGAAAAUGCCCCCGGAGAUCACGAAGAUGUAGAGCGUGAUGGCCGCUCCACACCAAAUCUUGGGAUCUUGGAGGAAGGGAGCUUUGAGCGCUGCCGGGGAGAGGCACGCAAGGAUCACGGCGGUGCAUGCGAGCGCGAUCCGUUUCCCGGUGGAGAGAGGCGGCGAGAAUAUCUCCCCGAUUUCUAUGCCGGAUUUCGAGCGGAUCGUGAGCGCUAGCUGCUGCGCGGUGCUCGAUCGCGGCAGGACCUCGAUGCCGCCACCGCUGGGUGGGAGAUAGAGAACGCAAGGAAUGUGAAAACCUGUGACGUUGAAUCUAUGGAGCGCGACGGGAGGAGAUUUCGAGGCUUGCAUGGACGCGAAGAAGAUCGAUGUCGAGCCGGCGUGAUUCUUGAGAAAGGAGUAGGCCAGAGAGGAGAAUUCGGACUGGAAGAACUCGUCCCUGCCGCUGGCCGCGCUGGAAUCGAAGAAGAGAAUGUAGAAUCCCGGCCCUAGCCCCGAUCUUUCGAGAAUUAGCGACUCUAGGGAGGAAUCCUGGAGCUCAAUGACGCCAUAGCUGGAGGCCGCUCUCAAGCUUGCGAGCUCCCUGACAUGAUCGUCUAGAAGAGCGCCCGCGGAGGCGAUCGUAGCCAUCAAAA
RNAcentral lists this long non-coding RNA (1328 nucleotides) under Selaginella moellendorffii. RNAcentral describes it as "long non-coding RNA (SMOE_LNC000340)". The record is from RNAcentral. Lineage: Eukaryota; Viridiplantae; Streptophyta; Lycopodiopsida; Selaginellales; Selaginellaceae.